CCUACGGGGGGCUGCAGUGGGGAAUAUUGGACAAUGGGGGCAACCCUGAUCCAGCCAUGCCGCGUGUGUGAAGAAGGCCCUCGGGUUGUAGAGCACUUUCAGUGAGGAAGAACGCCUGGUGGUUAAUACCCAUCAGGAAAGACAUCACUCACAGAAGAAGCACCGGCUAACUCCGUGCCAGCAGCCGCGGUAAUACGGAGGGUGCGAGCGUUAAUCGGAAUUACUGGGCGUAAAGCGCGCGUAGGUGGCUUGAUAAGCCGGUUGUGAAAGCCCCGGGCUCAACCUGGGAACGGCAUCCGGAACUGUCAAGCUAGAGUGCAGGAGAGGAAGGUAGAAUUCCCGGUGUAGCGGUGAAAUGCGUAGAGAUCGGGAGGAAUACCAGUGGCGAAGGCGGCCUUCUGGACUGACACUGACACUGAGGUGCGAAAGCGUGGGUAGCAAACAGGAUUAGAUACCCUGGUAGUC
This 465-nucleotide ribosomal RNA is filed under the name Vreelandella stevensii. RNAcentral's name for it is "partial 16S ribosomal RNA". It matches the Rfam family "Bacterial small subunit ribosomal RNA", at positions 338 to 795 of the family's 1533-position model. Lineage: Bacteria; Pseudomonadati; Pseudomonadota; Gammaproteobacteria; Oceanospirillales; Halomonadaceae. The record is from RNAcentral.